Molecule: long non-coding RNA, 848 nt
Organism: Pygocentrus nattereri (red-bellied piranha)
Lineage: Eukaryota; Metazoa; Chordata; Actinopteri; Characiformes; Serrasalmidae
Exons: 3
Source: RefSeq, a predicted model, not a curated record
UUCGUCUGGCAUGUGACGGCUCCAGGAAGCGUUCCUUUAAACCCUUGUUGGGGGAAUUGUGUCCUUGGGUGUUCCUCCAGACUUAUUCCAAACCCUGAUUGUCUCUUUUGGAACAUAAACUAGACAUUUUGGUUCGGUGAGCCAAGGGCCAACUUCAUGUGGCUUUGAGGAGACUUGCUAUGGUCAUCUGGUGUUUCCUGUUGAGAGUCUGGAUAGGAACCAAAUCACUGGAUUACUGAUGAACUGCAUCAUCUCAUACAGGCAUGGUGAGGCCUUCAAGCAUGGAAUGGACGUUCUGAGACAUCUCUGGUGAGACGGUUUCAGUUUACCUGCUUAAAGCUCAUUGCAGAGGGACCUGUUUUGUUUCUGUGGGCAGGACCCCCAUGGACCCUCACAGAGCAGAGACCCCGAGCCUCCCACUCCACUCCACCUCCCAGGAACAGCGUCCUGCCAGACCCUCUCUGCACAGAACCUGCUCAUAUUCAACAAAUCUCUCUGGAUGACUAGGGUACAAAGUGCCUUCCUUACUGCAGGUCAUCCUUCUGUUCCCUUCAGAGGUUGGUCGUGUUGGUGUACAUCAAGAGCCAGCAGGAAUCUGAUGAGGAGAAAUAUGGAUUUAGAUUUAAGCCAAACUGUACCAUAUUUGUUAAUUAUGAUUUGAAGGCAAAUGUCAGGUUUUCAGUGUAAAUUUAGCAAAAACAGAGUUGUGUGAGUAAUUUUGAGGUCUUGGGUCUUUCAGUUCCAUUUUCAGAUGUUCAAACGUUGCUACGAGCAAACCUUUGGCCCCUGUACCUUACUUUACGUUUGAGUUGUAGAUGUAGUAAAAAGGACUUGAACUUUACCCACAA